RNAcentral lists this long non-coding RNA (2398 nucleotides) under Heterocephalus glaber (naked mole-rat). RNAcentral's name for it is "lncRNA (ENSHGLG00100036490.1)". Lineage: Eukaryota; Metazoa; Chordata; Mammalia; Rodentia; Bathyergidae. The record is from RNAcentral.
AAGGCAGGAAUAAGGAACAGAUACAUCACUAGCACGCUGGUGGGGUGAGACUCGGCAGACACGGGAAGAGGCUCCUAGGGACAGUUCACCCCAGGCUUACGUCCUCUUCAUGUUCUGGUCUUUCCUUCCAGAGGGACGCCGCGGAAGCGGAGCUGCAGCUGAACCUCGCUGGCGACGGGGCUCCGCGGGUGUGUGUGUGUGUCUGUGUGUGUGUCUGUGUGUGUGUGUGUGUGUGUGUGUGUGUGAGUGACAGAGAGAGGAAAGAGGAGGAGGAAUAUAAAAAAGGAAGGGGAGGAAACGGGGAAAGAAUGGAAGGAAAAAAGAGAGCGAGGAAGACAAAAGGAGAGGAAGCUGCAGGAGGAAGGCUCUUAACUUGCGGACACUUAGCUCCUUUGCUCUGUGCGCAGAGAGAGGGAGAGAAAGAAAAGAGCGAAGGAGAGCCAGCUGUGAGUGCGUUUCCCGUUCCUGGCUCCUCCUAGGAGGCCUCGGCCUCAGUUCUGCAUAUUUUACUCCCGCGCUGGGAAACCCUAAACGACUCCAGCAGCCCGGCGCGCAGGGCUGUAACCUUCCCCCGUUCUCACGGAGACGCAGAGGCGAGGCCGUCCAGGUGCGGCCGGGAUCUCCAGGAGUGCCCGGUUUCCCUAACCUCCACCCCAGGUCCCAGGCAGGACCCCAGGCUGCGCUGGCAGGCAGACCCCGCCUCGGGCUGCUCUUUCCUGCGCUGUCGACCGCGAGGGCGUCUACCAGCUGCACGUCCAGGUGACCCUGGCCAGGUGCUGCUCCCAAGGGACACCAGGCACCGCAAUGCCACCCUGGCCGUGGGGCUCUGAACCCCGCCCCCCACAGAGUCAGCCUGCUGCGCCUGGGCUUGUCCAGGCCUGCACUGUGGCCUCUCAGCGCCUGACGCCCUCUGCGCCAACCUCAGCCCCCAGCGCCUGCCCUCCCCCAACACCGACAAGAACUUCUUGGGCAUCCACUCCUGACCACCCCCGGCUCGGCUGCUCUGCUUCUGUUUUCUGUAAAUGAAUGUGUUUUUCAAUUUCACCUUGACUUGCAUAUUUGAUGGGUGAGUCAAUGCCGGCACAGCUGGCUUAGAUGGGCAGGAGACGCCUCAGUGUUCCCAGGGCACCAAAAACAAACGCAGCCUGGUGUGGUAGCCUACUUCUCUUGCCAGCAACUCAGGAGGCUGAGGCAGGAGGAUCGUAAAUCCAGGGCAGGCCUGGGCAACGAAUGACUUAGGGAGACACUGUCUCCAAAAAUCAAAAUGGGUCGGGGGUAGAGUUCAGUGAUAGAGCGCCCCUGGGCUUGGUGCCAGUAAAAAAUAAAAAUUAUAAACCCACGCAAAGAACCUAAAGCAAAAUGAUGCGUAAAUAUGGUGUAAAAUCACAGGAAAAAAGAACAUUAAACAAGUAAAGGAUAUAAAUACGGAGAAGUGAUGACACAGGCCUCUUGACCCUGCAUUCUGGGAGGCUGAGACAGGAGAGGCCCAAGUUUGAGCCCAGCCUGGGCAACUUAGCAACUUAGCAAGACCCUGUCUCAAAAUAAAAAAUAAAAAAGGCCUGGGUUCAAUUUCGGGUAAAGAGACAGAGAGGGAGAGAGAGAGGGAGGGAGGGAGAGAGAGAGAGAGAGAGGGAGAGGAUACAUAGAGAGUAUUUAAUAAUAGUGUACCAUACUAAAACUGGAUAAAGAUAAUAGAAGAGAAAAGUAUGAACAUAAGAAUUUGUUUAAUAAAACAAACUAUUAGAAGUCAGAUCUGGCAGUAUGUAGUAAGUGGUUUUAUUAUAGGGAUGGCAGUGUGGGUUCAGCAUUGGAAGAUCCACCCCCAUAAGGCAUCAUUUUAACAAAGGAAAGGAAAAAGCCAUAUGAUCCUGUCACUAGUUGGAGAAAAAGGUAUCGGACUAAAUUCCACAGAUGUUCAUGUUAAAAGCUAUUAGGAGACUAGAAGUAGAACAGAACCUUUUCAACAGAUUAAAGACUUGUACUCCAUACUUCCAGCAAAAACACCUUAUAUGAAUGGAAAAGAUACAAUGUUGAUUUCCUAAAAUGAGGGAAAUGUUUCUUCUUUUCUCUGCUUUAAAUGUUUGAUAUAAUUCGUCAGUUAAAAUGUAUAUGACCCUGUUUUAUAGGUAGGUUUUCAAGCUAGGAAUAUACUUUCUUUAAUAGGUGCUAUUCAAAUUUUAUAUUUCUUCCAGAGUCAGUUUCAUUAAUUUGUCUUCCAAGGUACUUCUUAGAAGUUGUCAGAUUUAUUUCAAAAAAGAUUUUUGUAAUAUGCUUUCGAUAUUCUUUUAAAUUCAGCAAAAUCUGUGGUAAUGUUCUCUAAAUCUUGAUAUUGUAAUUUUUUAAAAAAAUGUAUAAUUGAUAUUGUGUAAUAGGAAGAAAAGGUCUAAAGGAGUAGGGG